UACGUCGGGUGCGAGCGUUGUCCGGAAUUAUUGGGCGUAAAGAGCUCGUAGGCGGUGUGUCACGUCGGCCGUGAAAACCUGCAGCUUAACUGUGGGCGUGCGGUCGAUACGGGCAUCACUGGAGUUCGGCAGGGGAGACUGGAAUUCCUGGUGUAGCGGUGAAAUGCGCAGAUAUCAGGAGGAACACCGGUGGCGAAGGCGGGUCUCUGGGCCGUAACUGACGCUGAGGAGCGAAAGCGUGGGGAGCGAACAGG
Molecule: ribosomal RNA, 254 nt
Filed under: uncultured bacterium
Lineage: Bacteria
Description: partial 16S ribosomal RNA
Rfam family: Bacterial small subunit ribosomal RNA
Source: RNAcentral